Molecule: ribosomal RNA, 414 nt
Filed under: Triticum aestivum (bread wheat)
Lineage: Eukaryota; Viridiplantae; Streptophyta; Magnoliopsida; Poales; Poaceae
Description: partial small subunit ribosomal RNA
Source: RNAcentral
AUGCUAAAGCGCGAUGCUGACCGUAAGAAACAGUACAUGGCAUAUGCUUUACAGAAAUAUAACGACGACGAGGGUCUUGCUGGGGAGAUGCAUUUUGUGUUUGAUGAAAGUAAAGACGAAGUUUUCAUUAUUGAAGGAAACAUGAACUCCUAUGAACACUUCAACUUUACAGCUAAGCAGGCUGGUUCCACUGUUCUAUUCUUUGCUGAAGUGAUCCCAGACGAAGGAGAACUCUGUAAUGUUCUUUGCUGCAAGCCUUUGGAUUCUGAUGACAAUGGACAUUGCUUUGGUUGUAAGAAUCAAGGUUCCGUGGACUUGAGGCAUCCAGCUGGCAAAAGUUUGUAUGUUGGAGGUCAUGUGGAUUGCGAGUUCCCAUUUAUGUGGGAUAGUAUCAGUGAGGAUGACUCUGAUUGA